RNAcentral lists this ribosomal RNA (208 nucleotides) under uncultured Latescibacterota bacterium. Its description in RNAcentral is "uncultured Latescibacteria bacterium partial 16S ribosomal RNA". It matches the Rfam family "Bacterial small subunit ribosomal RNA", at positions 568 to 774 of the family's 1533-position model. Lineage: Bacteria; Pseudomonadati; Candidatus Latescibacterota. The record is from RNAcentral.
CGUGUAGGCGGUCAGGUAAGUGGAAUGUGAAAUGCCCCGGCUCACCCGGGGACCGGCAUCCCAAACCUGCCUGGCUUGAGUAUGGGAGAGGAUGGAGGAAUUCCUGGUGUAGCGGUGAAAUGCGUAGAUAUCAGGAGGAACACCGGUGGCGAAGGCGUCCAUCUGGCCCAAUACUGACGCUGAGGCGCGAAAGCUGGGGAAGCAAACG